AUGAGCUCCAGCUCUCCCUGGCCCUCAAGGUGGCCGACAAGGUGCUGGAGGGGGCGGCUUCUGGAGACCAUCAGUCAGCUCUACCUGUCUCUGGGCACUGAGCGGGCCUACAGAUCCACUCUGGACUACACCAAAGUAGUCUGGGGAUUUUCAUUCACCUCCAAAAGAAAGAGGAGACGCAUGCCUGGCUGCAAGCAGGGAAGAUCUACUACGUCCUGCGGCAGAGCGAGAUGGUGGACCUGUACAUCCAGGUGGCACAGAAUGUGGUCCUGUACACAGGCGACCCCAACCUGGGGCUGGAGCUGUUUGAGGCAGCUGGAGACAUCUUCUUCAAUGGGGCCUGGGAGCGGGAGAACGCCGUGUCCUUCUACCAGGUCUGGACAUGAGAGUGGCUCUAUCCUUGCACCUGAUGAUCUCAAACAACCAUGAGUGGAAAGUCCUGUCGUCAUCUGGAAGAUGAGGACACUGAGGCUCAGAGAGGCACAGGGACAUGUCAAAGGACACACAGCAUGUCAGUGGGAGGCCCAGGGCCAGGGCCCAGAUCUGCAUGCACCCCGAAACGGGGACGGCUUCUCCCUUCCUCUGAGCUCACGGUGUGGCUCAGCUCUGGGCACAGAUAAAUGUGGUGUUUUUAGAGCAGAGAGGAGUGCUGGCUCCC
Molecule: long non-coding RNA, 658 nt
Filed under: Rhinopithecus roxellana (golden snub-nosed monkey)
Lineage: Eukaryota; Metazoa; Chordata; Mammalia; Primates; Cercopithecidae
Description: lncRNA (ENSRROG00000045839.1)
Source: RNAcentral